GGCGAGGGAAUGCGGAUCCAGGAUCCAACAAAACCCCUGGCACAGCUGUGGGAUCGUUGCCGGGAGCUGAAGGGCCCGACAGCCCCCGGAGCCACUUCCAAGGGCUCCUGGGAAAGUGGGAUCCAAUUUCCUCAUCCCGCUCUCCUGAGGACUCUUCCCUCUCCUGCUGCCGCCGGGAGACCCCGCGGAGGGCGCAGGAUCCCGCAGUUCCCGGGAUUCUGGGGUACGGCAGCAGGAUUUGGGGUAAAACAGUAGGAUUUUGGGAUAAAACUGGAAUUUGGGGCAAAACAGCAGGAUUUUAGGGUAAAGCAGUAGGAUUUUGGGGUAAAAAUGGGAUUUUAGGGUAAACCAGCAGGAUUUGGGGUAAAACUGAGAUAUGGGGCAAAAGAGCUGGAUUUUGGAGUAAAGCAGCAGGAUUUGGGAUAAAACUGGAAUUUGGGGCAAAACAGUAGGAUUUUGGGGUAAAGCAGCAGGAUUUGAGGUGAAAAUGGGAUUUUAGGGUAAAACACCAGGAUUUUAGGGUAAAGCAGAAGGAUUUGGGGUAAAACUGGAAUUUUAGGGUAAAACACCAGGAUUUUAGGGUAAAGCAGUAGGAUUUUAGGGUAAACAAGCAGGAUUUGGGGUAAAAGUGGGAUUUUGGGCAAAAGAGUAAGAUUUUGAAGUAAAGCAGCAGGAUCUGGGGUAAAACUGGGAUUUUAGGGUAAACCAGCAGGAUUUUGGGGAACAGCAGCGGGAUUUGGGGCAAAACUGGGAUUUGGGGCAAACCAGCCAGAAUGUGGAGUAAAACUGGGAUUUUAGGGUAAAACACCAAGAUUUUGGGGUAAAGCAGUAGGAUUUUGGGAUAAAAAUGAGAUUUUAGAGUAAAACACCAGGAUUUGAGAUAAAACUGGGAUUUUAGGGUAAAACAGUAAGAUUUUAGGGUAAACAAGCAGGAUUUGAGGUAAAAGUGGGAUUUGGGGCAAAAGAGUAAGAUUUUGAAGUAAAGCAGCAGGAUCUGGGGUAAAACUGGGAUUUUAGGGUAAACCAGCAGGAUUUUGGGGCAGAGCAGCAAGAUUUUGGGGUGAAACUGGGAUUUCGGGGUAAAACACCAGGCUUUUGGGGUAAAAAUGAGAUUUUAGGGUAAAGCAGCAGGAUUUUGGAGUGAAGCAGCAGGAUCUGGGGUAAAACUGGGAUUUUAGGUCCCUUCCAACCCAACCCAUCCCAUGGUUCCUUUCUGAUUCCAAGGAAGCAGAAGCGGAAGACGACAAGAACUCUUUCCUGAUAAUUAAUUAUUAGGAAUAUUAUGAAGAAUUAAUAAUUCUCGAGGACUGAUGAGCAGGUUUCGAGCAGAGGAAAGAAGGAGAGGAGCUCUGAUUCCCCCUGCCUGGAUGGGAAUCCAUGGGAAAGCCUUUUGGGAUCGUCCCUCAUCACAGCGGUCUGGCCCAGAAGGGGCCACGGCAGAAUCCGGCCCAGGAAUCCCCCUCCCGACUGACCUGGCUUUUCACUGGAAUAUUUGCACCUCAACAUUAAUUAAAUAAGGAUUUUAAGCCUGGCUUAAGCAGGGGAGAGAGGGAAGGGGCCACAGGACAGGCUUAAAAAGAGUUCUGGCCCAGAGGGGCCCCAUAAAUCCCUUUCCUGCCUCAGCCCUGCCGCAUCCCGAGUAUCCCGCGGGAUUCCUUCCCGGCUCAGUAGGCUCAGGACUAAGUGAAAACGAGGCUGUUUUCGGGAUCAUUAAAGCCUGACUGAGAGUCCAUAAAUUCCCACGGCACAGGCAGGGAACUGUUGGGCUGAGCCAACAGCAGGGACUCGACUCCACACAGGCAGCUCCGGAAUCUUCUCCGGAGACGCGCAGUUGUGCCUCCCGGAUUCCUUCCCCCUCCAGAUAUUCCGGGGUUGCUCCUGAGUGUUCUGAACUCCAAAUAUUCCAGGGCUGAUCUGCUCCCGAGUUUUCCAAAAUCCAAAUAUUCCAGGGCUGCUCCUGAGUGUUCUGAGCUCCAAAUAUUCCAGAGCUGCUCCCGAGUUUUCCAAACUCCAAAUAUUCCAGGACUGAUCUGCUCCCGACUGUUCUGAGCUUCAAAUAUUCCAGGGCUUCUCCUGAGUGUUCUGAGCUCCAAAUAUUCCAGGGCUGCUCCCGACUGUUCUGAGCUCCAAAUAUUCCAGGGCUUCUCCCCAGUGUUCUGAGCUCCAAAUAUUCCAGGGCUGCUCCCGACUGUUCUGAGCUCCAAAUAUUCCAGGGCUGCUCCCGACUGUUCUGAGCUCCAAAUAUUCCAGGGCUGCUCCCGAGUGUUCUGAGCUCCAGAUAUUCCAGGGCUGCUCCCGACUGUUCUGAGAUCCAAAUAUUCCAGGGCUGCUCCUGACUGUUCUGAGCUCCAAAUAUUCCAGGGCUGCUCCCGACUGUUCUGAGCUCCAAAUAUUCCAGGGCUGCUCCCAACUGUUCUGAACUCCAAAUAUUCCAGGGUUGAUCUGCUCCUGAGUUUUCCAAACUCCAAAUAUUCCAGGACUGCUCCCGACUGUUCUGAGCUCCAAAUAUUCCAGAGCUGCUCCCGAGUUUUCAAAACUCCAAAUAUUCCAAGACUGAUCUGCUCCCGAGUUUUCCAAACUCCAAAUAUUCCAGGGCUGUUCCGAACUUGCCUCAAUUCACGUGCCAGCUGCAGUUUUGGCCACAGCAAAGCCUCUUCCAGGGUUUUUUUUUUGGGGAGUAAACACCUGGAUCAGUGGAAAAAGGAGCCCUGGAUAAUCUGUGGGAUCCCUGGUGAGUGGGGAUUGUCCUUCAAGGAUGCUCCAUCCCUGGAAGUGUCCAAGGGCAGUUUGGAUUCCCUUGGAGCAACCUGGGAUAGCAGAAGGUGCCAGGGUUGGAAAUGGAUGAUCCUUAAGGUCUCUUCCCAUUCCAUGACACUGGAGAACAUUCCCAAAAGCUAAUUCUAGUUUCCAGAGGAUUUUCACCUCCCGGGAUCUUCAGGGACUCGUUGCCAAUUCCCGAAUGGAAAAAUAAUCCCCUUUGCUGCCGGGAUCGCUGUGGGGUUCUUCAAUUAAGAAAUUAAAUUAAACUAAAUUAAAUUAAAUUAAGAACCUUCUCCUGAUUGCUCUGAUGUUCCCAGGUGGGAAAAAACGCCACUUUUCCCGUCUCCUCAAUGCCGGGUUAUCCCAGACCCUCUGCCUUCUCCCCAUCGUUCCAUUUCCCGGUGGCUGGUUGGGAUUCCCAGGAAACAGCCUCGUGUUUCCCUUCUCUGGGCAACCCCGGCGGAAAAUGGGAAUAAAAUUCCAUUUUUCUUUAAAAGGUUGGGAAUGUUUUUGCUUCUUGAGAAGCGGAGCACCGGAGAGGAUUUGGGAUACUUGGAAAUCACAAGGGUGGGAUUGAAGGGGAGUUUUGAGCUCCACACCUUCAGCUCUCUGCUGGAAAACCCUGGAUUGGGGAUUGGAGGAGUUCUGGAUCAUCCCUGGAAUCGCCCUCCAGCCUCCUGAGCAAUCCCGGCUCCGUUUAAAUCCCCCCUGGAUUGGAUGGGAAGGCCAAGAGAGGCAGAGCCUUCGGGAUGGGGCUGAUCCGCCAACUUGGGAAAGGAAAACGAGGAAACCACACCAAAUAAACGGGAUUAAAACAAGGAAACCACUCCACAGAAACGGGAAUAAAACAAGGAAACCACUCCACAUAAACGGGAUUAAAACAAGGAAACCACUCCACAGAAACGGGAAUAAAACAAGGAAACCACUCCACAUAAACAGGAAUAAAACAAGGAAAUGACACUACAUAAAAAGGAAUAAAACAAGGAAACCACCCCACAAAUACAGGAGGAAAACAAGGAAAUCACUCCACAGAAACAGGAAUUAAAGUGAAGGAACCACACCAAAUAAACAGGAAUAAAACAAGGAAACUAUUCCACAAAAACAGGAAUAAAAGUGAAGGAACCACACCACAAAACCAGGAAUAAAACAAGGAAACCACUGCACAUAAACAGAAAUUAAAGUGAUGGAACCACACCAAAUAAACAGGAAUAAAACAAGGAAACCACAGCAAAUAAACAGGAAUAAAACAAGGAAACUGCUCCACAUAAACAGGAAUAAAAGUGAAGAAACCACACCAGAUAAACAGGAAUAAAACAAGGAAACCAUUCCACAGAAACGGGAAUAAAACAAGGAAACCACUCCACAUAAACGGGAAUAAAAGUGAAGGAACCACAGCAAAUAAACAGGAAUAAAACAAGAAACCACACCAAAGAAACAGGAAUAAAACAAGGAACCAAACCAAAUAAAACAGGAAUAAAACAAGGAAACCACACCAAAUAAAACAGGAAUAAAACAAGGAAAUCACUUCACAUAAACAGGACUAAAAGUGAAGGAACCACUCCACAUAAACAAGGCUCUGAAACGGCCGUGUUUUUUGGCCGGGCCACGUUUCAGUUCUCUCCAAGAAUCUGAACAGGAAAUAAUUUAAAAUAAUUAGGAAUUAACGUUUCCUUUCGGUGAGGUCGUGCUGGGUAAGGUUUAAACCCAGCGCCAGCGGAGGGAAAACCGCCCGCCAAUGCCUCGGGAUGAACCCGGAGCUGAUGGAUCUCCGGCUCCAGACCGACAACAUUAAAUAUUUAGGAGCGAACGGCGCAAUUCCCGGGAGAUUUUAACGGGGACAGUGACAUGUGGAUGUUCCUCAAGCCCGGAUUUGUCAGGCUGGGUGUGGGGUUUAGGCUUUGUCACGUCUUGAGGCGUCUUCCUGAGACAGUCGUGGGAAUAUCCAACCAGCGGGGUCGGUAUCCCCGGGACACGGGGGAUUUGGGAUGAGUCACGGAGCGGGUGAGACAUCCACGAUCCCGUUCCUUCCCUGGGGGCUCCGAGAUUUCAAACACUGCUCCCAUGGGA
This is a long non-coding RNA of Pseudopipra pipra, 4827 nucleotides long. RefSeq lists it as uncharacterized. The transcript is spliced from 2 exons. NCBI's taxonomy places the organism in Eukaryota, Metazoa, Chordata, Aves, Passeriformes, Pipridae. The record is from RefSeq and is a predicted model, not a curated record.